This 290-nucleotide unclassified non-coding RNA is filed under the name Hevea brasiliensis (rubber tree). The record is from RNAcentral. Lineage: Eukaryota; Viridiplantae; Streptophyta; Magnoliopsida; Malpighiales; Euphorbiaceae.
UAAAUUAGAUUGGAAUCUCAUCAUCUCUUGUUUGUUGGUUUCAUAUACAGGAAUAGGCUAGGACAAGGUUACUGGCCCCAUGUCAUGUCCCUGUCCCUAGCGUUCCCGGAUCGGCGUGGGAUACAGACCACAAUUGCCAGAGGUUAUUGAGACACCGAGGUUCAUAACCAAGAACAUAGUGAAAUUUCACAAAAUGACAAUGUAAAGCCAUUUUUCAAUCAAUCAAGAGCCUGAACUUGAUUUCCAAUUACCAUAACUUUUACUUCCAUCCAGAGAGUACCCAGAUGUCG